Apteryx haastii (Great spotted kiwi) is the source of this 2187-nucleotide long non-coding RNA. The record is from Ensembl. Lineage: Eukaryota; Metazoa; Chordata; Aves; Apterygiformes; Apterygidae.
CCUGGGCCGAGUCCCUGCGACAAUAAACAUCCCCCAGCGCCGCGGGCAUAGACUCCGCGCCGGCUAGAGCGGCCGCCGGAAGUCUUGGCGGCGGGCGGGGAGGAAGGGGGCUGCGCUAGCAGCGCAUUUCCGCUUUCGUCUGCGCCCCUUCUCUGGAAGGCGGGGCGGGCGCUCCCCAGGCCGAAGCACCGCCCUGGGCGGUUAACGGGCGCCGCGACGGGCGGCCCCGGGCGGCCCCUCCUGGCCCGGGGGCGGUUACUGUGCCCUCCCGUCCCGGUCCCGUGUCCCCGCGCGGCUGCGGCCUGGUUUUCCGUCGGCGCUGGCUGAGCCCCGGGAUCCCGAGUGCGGCGAGGUCCUGUGUUUGCGGGGCGUUUAUCCGUUACUGCCUAAGGGGCCUGGUCGUGGAAAGCCCUGGAGGAGCAGCGCUGUUUCAAAGUUCUCCAGAAAACGUCGGUAGAGGCCAGGCUGCAGGCCUCUUGUCUGGUUUUCUGCUCUCUGGUGCCAGCACUUGCACGGUGAAGUGGUUCUGUGGUUGUGUGCAAGGAGGGCUGGUCUUGGAAAUAACUUUUUCUAGCACAUGUUCCAGAGAAAUGCAUAAUCACCACUGGACACUAGGAAAAUAUUUUUUUAAUGAUGAAGAAACAGACCCUUACCAUUUCAAGUUUUCGGCUGCUUUGUCUACUGAGGUUUCCUCGUUUGGACUAGGACAUGUUUUCAAGAUUGCGUCUCCGAAUAUAUGUUUGCAAAUAUGCAUACACAUGCAAAUAAUUAUCACAUUAAUAUGGAAUGCAAAUGGGGUUAUUGGGCAGCUAAUUUUGUAUGUAAGUUCAACAGUUGUGCAUGUGAUUUUAUUUCACAUCUAUACAGUUACGAAGCUCAUCAUUAACUUUAAAUGUCGCCAGUCCUCCCAAGCUCUGUAAGAGUAAUCCCAGGCUAUGUCACCAUUACCUGACUGAACUUAUGUUCUCCCCCUCCUGGUCUCCAUCCCUCCUUGCAACUCUCUAAGUUGGCUCCACGGCUUCCUCCGCCAGCGUGAAGUUAGUGCUUUCCCAUCUGCAGGAACUGUGUCCUCAUUUUCCUCUUUCUAUUGCAUGUUCUGUCUUCUCAGAUGCUACACUGAAAUCAGACAGGGAAGGCAUGGAUACCGUGUCUGACUUUGUCCCUGCCUUGUUGUGUGAUUUUGAACCAUUUCAUCCUUUGUUUCUCAAUCUGUUAUUCAGAAAGUAAAGAGGAGAUGGGGGGAGGGACUGCUUAUUGUACUUGAACAUUCUGCGGAAUCGAAUCCUGGCCUGCUCGGGACCUUCAGUAUUUAUGUAGUAAAAAUAAGGAUUUGAACUUUAAAUAGAUUGAACUUUAGGACACUGCAUAUAUUUUUGUGUUACAAUUCCAGCAAUGAGAGUGAAUGAAGAUGCAGUUUCGUGAUGUGGUUAUUCAGAUCUAACCACAACCUUCUGUCAGAAAAAUCACUCAUCUUACUGAAACAAAUGCUUGAUUAUCUGGAUUUUUUUGUUUUUGCAGGGUUCAUUUUCAAUCAGAUAAGCUUGCCAUAAAAUCUCAAGAUCCAGUGUAAAGUAGGCUGUGGGAAAAUGUAGACAGGGAGAAGAGAACCAAACAGCCCCUUGAGGCAGCCUGCAGUGAAGGCUGGAUUAAGAGUAUUGUACAACUGCAUUUUACAUACUGUGGGCUCUGUGUGGAAGAGUGAUAUAUUUUAUAAUAUUUUAUAUUUGAAGAAAAGGCACCUAGGAGCAGUCCAUAUCCUGGAAAUUCCAUAGAAAUGAACUUUGGCAGAAUGAUCAUCAGCAACGUGCAUAUGAUAUUGCAGAUUAUUUAUGAAAAAUCUCCCACAAGUUGGCAGCCAGCAGGGAACAAGCUUAAACCUGUGGCAAGAGAUCAUUCAGGGAGGGAAUCCUUCGCUCCAGGGCUUAGUUUAUCAGGUGAAAUUAUAAAGUUAAGUGAGUCUUCUCACAUUUCUCUCAUGAUAUGGUGGAUGUUCAGUAUGAUAACUCAUGCCAGCAGUGUACUCUAUUACAUUGUUACCUCUCUGGCAUUAGUAGCACUAAAACCACAUCCACAGUAUUCAGACUUUGAGCAAGUUUCUGUUUAAUUUUAUAAUAUACCUAUAAUUUUGUAACAUAAAUAUAUAUAAAAUAUUAUACUACAUAAAUAAAUGUAUUUAUGAUAUAAACA